GGAUGUGAGGUUCAUAUGGCUGCAACAUGUCACCCCGUUGAUCGUUCAUCUGGAUUGGCUUGGCCUGGCUGUCUAGGCGGGUGUCCCCUUUCUCCCUCACCACUCUGUGGGUGAUCCACCUGAAGGUUCAUUCCUGGUCCAAGAGGACCACCUUCCUGAAUGGAGGAGGGCUGCUCUUUGAUCAAGGGUGUGUGAGUAGCUGUAUUCUCCUAUUGGAGCCUACAAACCUACUCUCGGAAAAAUCAAAUGAUGGAAAUUCAGUCAGAAGAGCAUAUUUUCUUUAAUCACAUCGGUUAGCUUCUCUGCAAGAUAUCUAUU
This 318-nucleotide small nuclear RNA is filed under the name Jaculus jaculus (lesser Egyptian jerboa). RNAcentral describes it as "7SK RNA (ENSJJAG00000005138.1)". It matches the Rfam family "7SK RNA". From Rfam's summary of the family: 7SK was discovered as an abundant small nuclear RNA in the mid-70s but a possible function has only recently been suggested. Two independent studies have found that 7SK RNA binds the CDK9/cyclin T complex (known as elongation factor P-TEFb). Lineage: Eukaryota; Metazoa; Chordata; Mammalia; Rodentia; Dipodidae. The record is from RNAcentral.